AACAUGUUGAAACAUGGUCAACUAAUAAUGAUUACUUGGAAGGUUUGAAUAUUGUGAAUAAUCUGCAAGUUGUUAAUGAUGUAGCUGAAAGAGCAGUUCAGUUGACUCAAGAUUAUAUCAACAUUUUAACUACCAAAGAAGACAGUAGCAUAAUAAAGUGACUUAGAGCACAAUUUCUUAUGGGAUUUUGAAACUUGAGCCUUCGGUAUUUGUUAUUUUGCAUGCAUUACACACGAUAAGAUACGGUGUGUGGAUGUGUUGACAAUUACGUGUUCGGCGCUGUUCGGCUGCGGAGUUACAACUGACAGUUGACAGCGUGCAUACUGGAUGUUGCAAAUUGUAUAUACAGGAUGUUAAAACAAAUCAACCAUUUACAUGAACAUGGCUAUAAUGAUGUCGAAUUUUCUAUAGACAACCAAUAAAAGUCAAGAUUGAGAUGGUGAUGAUUAAAUACAGAUACAUUCAAUCGCCUCUGGCGAUCCCACAAAAUAUGUUCCUGAUCCGUCAGAAACGAAAAAUCUCCAACGACAAGAUUCCAUCGACGAUAAAUUCGCUUAAAUAGUUCGAGUUAACGCGAUUAAACCAACUACGAUGGGAGAUAAUUGUUUGUCCAACUAACGAUUUAUACUCGUUAAAACAAUCAGUGCACACAUGUAGGUUCCCACUUGGUAUUAUAAAAUAUGAAUGACACAUGUUUACAUAAGGUGGUACAAUUACAUCCUCGUGGUCGUGAUCCUCAUUGAUGCAAUAAUUGUUGUUGUCAUCAUCGUUGUUGUCAUCUUCGUUGUCGUUAUCGUCGUGACCAAUGGGUGAUGAUGGCGGUGGAAAAUAAAAAUCGUACCAGUCGUUGUAGCAGAGUAUCAUGAUGAAAUCUCUUUCUUCUGCGUUAAAAUUACCAAAAUUAUAGUCAUUCCACACCACACCAUCAUCAUUCCACCAUUCAGAAAGUGAUGAAGAUGAAAAUACGCAACUAGUAGAAGUGUGCGAAAAAUUGGAGAAGAAAGUACUACCAUAUUCGGACGAUGAACUAAAUGGUUGUAAUAAGCAAUUUAUUGCGCUGCUUUACCGUCAUUCAUAUUUUAUAGGUUCUUCCCAAAGAUUGGCAAGACAAAGGUAAUGCCAUUCUGCACAAUUAUGAAACCUCAGGAAUCGUUGUGGCAGGCAUACUGCUGGGCUCCAUUUUGUUGUUUUGGGUUGGUUAUAAAGUUUGUUCCCGCUGCUGUAAUGUGUCUCACGGAUUGCAACAAAAUCAUCAAAACACGAUGCUCACCUAGAUAGAACGAAUGCAUCAUCCCCAUAGUUUCCCUGAUGAAGAAAAAAGCGUUUCAUUUGACUUAAGUAAUUAAGUAAUAACCUCACAAACACAUAAGUGCAAUAACCAGGAAUGUAUAUCCUAGCUACUAGAUCAAAACUUUCAAAAAUUAAAAGAAACGUAUCAAUUCAAAUUACCUUUUGGAGGAAGAUGUCGACAAUUUACGGUGAAAAAAUGGUUGUUGAAGUUGACAACUCUAACGCCAUUAUAUUUUUACCAGACGGGUAUGCAAUUAUUAAACGUCGAUAGACUCAAUUGCACACAAAGGGCACUGGUAUAUCGUGGAAAGAAGACGGUGGGCAACCGUACAAUUCAUGAUGUAGAAUUCACCAGAUUCUUCUAAAACCAUACUACAAACUCCGUAUCUCGGAUCAUCAUUCCUACAAUUCUUACAAAAAUAAUGUAUAAAAAAAUAAAGAUUGAAAAUGUAUAAUUAAAUAACAAAAAAAAUUGUUGUAUGCUUGACAAAUUCGAAAAGUUCGUGCAAGCACACGUGUUUAUUUUUAAUUAAGCGAUCCAUUUUAUGUUAUUGUGGUGAUCGUUAUAGACUGAAGUCACAAAGCGACUGAAAAUGUUUUUUUGUUUUGAAUUGUGUAACUUAAACUUUGUUCAUUUCUUCCGGCGGAUAUGUCAUAUCAAAUUUGUAAAGUGUGUGAAGCCUACGAUUACAAAACUGUUUUACAUGUUUUUAAAAUUCUACAAGAACUCAAGUUCGAGCAAAAUCUAAGCAUCCUUAUCAGAAGUAAACACACACGGUAAAACCGCAAAUAUAUUGAUAUGAAAUUUCAUUAUUGUACAGCAGCUCUCCAAGGAAAAAUCAUAAUAUCAUUCAAGUAUUGCAUGUUUUGUUGUACACACACAUUAAAUUUCGAUCAAUUGCAAAAUGAUGAACAAAAAAGCUAUAUCUGUGUUGAAAACUGUUUUUAAAGAAUACCCUUCACUGAAUAUGAAUGAAAUAAUACAAGUUUCAAGACUGUUGCUUGGUUCAUGGAUUUUAUAUCAGGGUAAAAUUGAAGAUUAUGAUGAAGAAGUAACCAUAUAUUACAAUCCGAGUUCAAGAACUGUGUGUUGGUGCGAUUUGUAAAGCAAAAACUGGAUUUUUGAGACAAAAAUUUACCGAACUACUUCUAUGUUUCAAAGUUUUAUCACACGCAUUACACUUGUAUAAUUUUGUUGAUUUAAAAUUAUCGUUUGAAACUUU
This is a long non-coding RNA of Dalotia coriaria, 2513 nucleotides long. RefSeq lists it as uncharacterized. Lineage: Eukaryota; Metazoa; Arthropoda; Insecta; Coleoptera; Staphylinidae. The record is from RefSeq and is a predicted model, not a curated record. The transcript is spliced from 5 exons.